Long non-coding RNA from Culex quinquefasciatus (southern house mosquito), 943 nucleotides. RefSeq lists it as uncharacterized. The transcript has 3 exons. NCBI's taxonomy places the organism in Eukaryota, Metazoa, Arthropoda, Insecta, Diptera, Culicidae. The record is from RefSeq and is a predicted model, not a curated record.
GCAAUCAUCUCGUACUGCGUCAGUAUUAGUGUUUGUUUUCGUUUUGACUGGUGCCCGUGCUGUCGCUUGGUGAUCGAUCAGAAGUUGAAAACAAUCUGAGCAAGCGGGAGCACGGGCGCAGCUAAGAAAGUAGCUGCGAAAAGACACCGUAAAUUUUUGUAGCAUGUGGUGAAUAAAAGAGUUUUAUUUACCCUGCUGACGGAACCGGUGCCCGGUUGAGAAAUUCCCGCCUGUCUCAACACUACAAAAAUUUACGACAGAGAACGCCGAAGAUCGGAAACCUGUGGCCACCGCUAGGAGCUUGAAAAGCGCGGCGGAAGUGGCACUACGUCCCAUCCGGAGACGUCCCUUCAUUCGGAGCGAGUUGCUGUGGAGUUCGCAGGAGCUGAUGCAAUGGCGGCUAAAACGGCAACAAAAUGGAGUCGGUGAGGCGAAAGUUGCCGAAGGAGGUUGAGACGAUGUGACCACCCGUGGCCCAUAAAUCGAGCCUAAAGAGGUCGGGCACGGGUGGGAGACGGAGGUCAAAAGAUCACUUUGGAACGAUACGCGCUCAUCCACUUCAAGUUGCAGACGUCGUCGGCAGCACCAAAACCAGCGAAGCAUCUUCAGGACGCGCUACGAUGACGAAGGCGUAAAACUCCGGCUUCGGCUAACCCGAAGUUUUACGGGGGGGAGUGUUGCGACGGAGCACGUCCCAAAUACGGCCGAAGCAAUCAUCUCGUACUGCGUCAGUAUUAGUGUUUGUUUUCGUUUUGACUGGUGCCCGUGCUGUCGCUUGGUGAUCGAUCAGAAGUUGAAAACAAUCUGAGCAAGCGGGAGCACGGGCGCAGCUAAGAAAGUAGCUGCGAAAAGACACCGUAAAUUUUUGUAGCAUGUGGUGAAUAAAAGAGUUUUAUUUACCCUGCUGACGGAACCGGUGCCCGGUUGAGAAAUUCCCGCCUGU